RNAcentral lists this ribosomal RNA (429 nucleotides) under Gemmatimonadota bacterium. RNAcentral describes it as "Gemmatimonadetes bacterium partial 16S ribosomal RNA". It matches the Rfam family "Bacterial small subunit ribosomal RNA", at positions 355 to 776 of the family's 1533-position model. Lineage: Bacteria; Pseudomonadati; Gemmatimonadota. The record is from RNAcentral.
UAGGGAAUCUUCGGCAAUGGACGAAAGUCUGACCGAGCAACGCCGCGUGAGUGAAGAAGGUUUUCGGAUCGUAAAACUCUGUUGUUAGAGAAGAACAAGGACGUUAGUAACUGAACGUCCCCUGACGGUAUCUAACCAGAAAGCCACGGCUAACUACGUGCCAGCAGCCGCGGUAAUACGUAGGUGGCAAGCGUUGUCCGGAUUUAUUGGGCGUAAAGCGAGCGCAGGCGGUUUCUUAAGUCUGAUGUGAAAGCCCCCGGCUCAACCGGGGAGGGUCAUUGGAAACUGGGAGACUUGAGUGCAGAAGAGGUGAGUGGAAUUCCAUGUGUAGCGGUGAAAUGCGUAGAUAUAUGGAGGAACACGAGUGGCGAAGGCGGCUCUCUGGUCUGUAUCUGACGCUGAGGCUCGAAAGAGUGGGGAGCAAACAGG